RNAcentral lists this long non-coding RNA (652 nucleotides) under Homo sapiens (human). RNAcentral's name for it is "HSALNT0392993". Lineage: Eukaryota; Metazoa; Chordata; Mammalia; Primates; Hominidae. The record is from RNAcentral.
UUUUGGCUUUCUAAGAACUAUUUUUCAGUAGAUGAAGAAAUUCAGACUCAGAAGAGAAAUGGCUACCCCAGAUCCGGGACAAAGAAAGUAUGAAGUAAGCUUCUGACAUCUUGUGACAGAAAACAAAGGCUCAAAGAAUGACACGGAUUGGCUCAAAUAACCCAGGAGACGGUUGGAAGGGAUCUGCCCAGUAACUCUGCAAGACAGGUGACUUCAUCUCUGGCUGACAGAGGAGGUUAUUCAAAGAGGAAGAGGUCAGACAGAUGACCACGAUCAAGCCCAGAGAACAGCAGAACCCCGUCUCUCGGGUGCCAUAGACCUGGCCCAUCCUGUCCUCAAGGGGCUGGAUUAGCAGAGAGAAGGCACAGAUAGGGUCUCACUCUGUCUCCCAGGCGGGUCUUGAACUCCUAGGCUCAAGCAAUCCUACUGCCUCAGCCUCCCGAAGUGCUGGGAUUGCAGGUAUGAGCCACCAUGCCUGGCCCCAGAAAUAUUCUGAACGGCUUUGACAAGGUGUUGAAGAGCUUUCCCUACUAGAUUCAGCAUGCUGAAACAGGGAGCUGCACCGGGACUGUGGACACAUUGCCUGGAUUCCAGACCUAGCUCCCCCAGGACAAAACUGCAUGACUUCGGGCAAGUACCCUCAUCUAUAACA